UGACCGACCUUGGGUUCUGUGCCUCAGCACUCCCAGGAAAUUGUGGAUGACGGAGCUAUGGGGGUGUCAAAAGACAAUGGGGUGAAGAGAAGUAGCAGGAAGCGAAAGUAUGAGUUGGAAAAGGGGCAGGACGAGCCAAAGGCACUCCUGGUGAAGAAGAAGAAGGAGCUGGAAUGUAGAGUGAAGCCUUCCACGGUCAAAGGGAAGAAGAAGAAACCAUCAAAAGUCACGGAAAAGCCACUGCAGGAGAACAUCAUCAGCAGCUCCCUGAAGCAGGAGGCUGCAGAUGGGAAAUGCCUUGGCUCAAGCCUCUGGAAUGGGAUCCAAGCCGAGGAAGGAGCUGCAUCCGGGUUGGAGGACACCAAAGCAAACCCCCCUCAAGGGCCACCAGUGGGGCUGGAAGACUCCUCCAGAUCCCAGGACGAAUCCCAGAGAGCAGGACCUGCAGUAGGAGAGCAGCUCUUGGAGACCCAGAAUGGAAUCAGGCUCCCAAGUGUUGCUGGUGGGGUUGCAUCCCCCUCUGGAGAUCCUUUGGAGAGGAAUGUGGGGCUCACAGCUGUGAGGGAGACUGAGGAGAAGGAGCUGGAUCCCCCUAUCCCACAACAGGAAGAGGAUUCCCAAGCCCUGAAACAAAAAGGAGGGAAGAAGCAGGAGGAAAACAAGCAGGAAAAAGGAUUGAAGAGGAAAAGAGGGAAGAAGCAGGAGCAAAACAAGCAGGAAAAGGGAUUGAAGAGGAAAAGAGGGAAGAAGCAGGAGGAAAACAAGCAGGAAAAGGGAUUGAAGAGGAAAAUAGGGAAGAAACAGGAGGAAAACAAGCAGGAAAAGAGAUUGAAGAGGAAAAGAGGGAAGAAACAGGAGGAAAACAAGCAGGAAAAGGGAUUGAAGAGGAAAACAGGGAAGAAACAGGAGGAAAACAAGCAGGAAAAGGGAUUGAAGAGGAAAAGAGGGAGGCAGGAUAAAUCUGAGGAUUUGAUGGAUGGCAUUGAGGGGGACGAGGGCAGGAAUUGGGAAGGGGGACAGGGAAGAGCCAAAAGACAGAGAUGCAGCAGCCAGGGAUGUGAUGAUGGGGAAAAAAAGCAGGAGACAGGGAAAGCAAAGAAGCCCAGGAAAAGGAAAGUGAAGGGGAUGGGAAAGAGGAAAAUAAAGAAGGAACAACUGCUGGAAGAGGAGCAAAAGAUGGAGAAAGAUGAGGAGGGAGAGGAAGAAGUGGGAGGUGAAGAGGAGAGAAAGGUGGGAAAGGGAAGUGGAGAUGGAAAAGGAAUAAAGGAGGAAGAGGUGGAUGGGAAAGGGGAGGAAGGAUUGGGAGAAACUAGGAGCGCAGGGAUGGGGCAGGAGGUGAAGGAGGAGGAGGAUGAAGGGAAGGGAGAUGUUCCAGGGAAAGAGAAAAAGAGGAAAAACAAGAAGAAAAAGACAAAGGGGGAGACAAAAGAGACAAAGAGGGAAGAGGAUAAAACCCCCGGGAAAACUGGGAAAGAGAAAUCUAAGGAAGGAGAAGAAAAAAAAGAACAAAAGAACCUAAAAAAGACUAAAAAACAGAAAAAAGAAGAAAAAGAGGUGGAAAACAAAUGGAAAUGGUAAAUUCCAGCAUGUCUUUGGCAGGUCUAACCCUGGAACUGGGAUUUUAAUUAUAUUUUGUGGGGCAAAAUGGUGAAAAAUUCCUGCUUUUUGACUAUUUUCCUGUAUUUCCUUGAGCCUUGAACGUGGCACUCUUGGAAACGGGUGAGAGAUAAGGGAAGGUCCUGAAUGCACAGCAGGAUUUGUAUCAUUAUUAUUUU
This 1775-nucleotide long non-coding RNA is filed under the name Cyanistes caeruleus (blue tit). RNAcentral's name for it is "lncRNA (ENSCCEG00000012635.1)". Lineage: Eukaryota; Metazoa; Chordata; Aves; Passeriformes; Paridae. The record is from RNAcentral.